CAGUCGCCGCGGGAAUACGAAGGGUGCAAGCGUUAAUCGGAAUUACUGGGCGUAAAGCGUGCGCAGGUGGUGGUUUAAGUCCGUUGUGAAAGCCCUGGGCUCAACCUGGGAAUUGCAGUGGAUACUGGGUCACUAGAGUGUGGUAGAGGAUAGUGGAAUUUCCGGUGUAGCAGUGAAAUGCGUAGAGAUCGGAAGGAACAUCUGUGGCGAAGGCGACUAUCUGGGCCAACACUGACACUGAGGCACGAAAGCGUGGGGAGCAAACAGGAUUAGAUACCCCAGUAGUCCCUGUCUCUUAUAC
RNAcentral lists this ribosomal RNA (301 nucleotides) under uncultured bacterium. Its description in RNAcentral is "partial 16S ribosomal RNA". It matches the Rfam family "Bacterial small subunit ribosomal RNA", at positions 509 to 807 of the family's 1533-position model. The record is from RNAcentral.